Molecule: long non-coding RNA, 1322 nt
Organism: Ochotona princeps (American pika)
Lineage: Eukaryota; Metazoa; Chordata; Mammalia; Lagomorpha; Ochotonidae
Exons: 3
Source: RefSeq, a predicted model, not a curated record
CGCAGAGGCCGCGGUGGCGGCGCCUUGACCUUGGGUGGAACGUGAAGAACGGGUAGCGGGGCUCCGGACCCAUAGCGUGGAUUAUUACUUGGUGCCAGUCAGCCGGGAUUGAGAGAGCCGCGUCCUCGCGCCGGUCCUGCGCGGGUCCGUCCUCUGGAGCAGCCGGGUCCCUCGCUGCAGGUGAAAUUGGAGGUUCUGGUGGAUGUGAUGGGCACUUUCUAACUGAAGAAGAAGGACCAGAACAAAGGGAGCUGCCCAUGGUCACCACAGCUCAGCUGCAUAUCUGCGGUUCCUGGCCCAGGGCGGGUUCUGCACACCUUUCGCCAGACAUGUCUCCUGCCCCUGCGUGGCAGCCUGUGACAGCUGUUGGCAGGCAGGAGGCUUGCAGGUCCCGGCCACGGAAGGAAGAUGGAGCAAGGGCCGCUCUUCCUCGCCAUGUUCCCCACGGACCCCCACGGAGGACCCAGCUGGGUCAGACCAUCUCUAGAGAACUUCUUGAAGAAGUUCCAUCAUGACUUCCCUUGGAGAAUAGCAGAGAACCUCGCCCCGAGGGAUCAUCGCCACAUUGACCUGACGUAACAGGGUGGCUGCAGGCGAGGACACGCCUGGUCCAGACUCUACGCUCCUUUCUUGGACAGUUCCUGUACUGCUGUCUCAGAGAGACGCUUCUCCCACCCCCAUGUGGGCCGCGGAGGCCUUUGUGCCACACCCUGGCUUGCCCACACCCCCCACCCCCGUGUCUGCUGUGCUCUGGGACUCGGUGUUUCUUCUUGCUUGCACCGUACUCUCCAGCCGGAUACCGAGUGAAUAGUUAACUUCGUGUAGGUCAAAUGGGAUCUUAAUUUUCAUUCCUGCUCCUUCUAGAAGAGGCCAAUGUUUGUGCCUGGCAGGGACACCUCUGGUCGUAUCCCUUCUUGCUUAUUUGCAAUCUGCCAUCCCCUUCGACACACCCCCUCCCACACACAUACCUCCCAUCCCCAGGUUCCCGAGUGACCAAGGGUCAGGACAGGAGUUCCCCGGACUCUCAGAUGUCCCCAUCCUCGGUGAACUGGCCAUGGCAGGGGGCGUUGGUCAUGAGGCCUUUAGGCUCCUGUCCUCCAUGUAUGACUUUUUUGUGUGUCACGCACAGGUAUACAUCUGGAAAGAUAAAAACGAGUGCUGGCCUUCUUCCUGUCAGCUGUGACCCAAGACCCAUGACCAGCUGCACAGACCCCCGCUGUCAUGGUGGCAAUUGAGGUUCGUGCAGAUCACGGUCUUUGCGACAGAGCAGCCAGCCACCAGGGUUGGUGAAGUUCAUGAAAGGCAUCCUUCCCCCAGGGCGU